RNAcentral lists this ribosomal RNA (492 nucleotides) under uncultured bacterium. Its description in RNAcentral is "partial 16S ribosomal RNA". It matches the Rfam family "Bacterial small subunit ribosomal RNA", at positions 29 to 507 of the family's 1533-position model. The record is from RNAcentral.
AGUGAACGCUGGCGGUAGGCCUAACACAUGCCAGUCGAACGGCAGCACAGUAAGAGCUUGCUCUUACGGGUGGCGAGUGGCGGACGGGUGAGGAAUACAUCGGAAUCUACUUUUUCGUGGGGGAUAACGUAGGGAAACUUACGCUAAUACCGCAUACGACCUACGGGUGAAAGCAGGGGAUCUUCGGACCUUGCGCGAUUGAAUGAGCCGAUGUCGGAUUAGCUAGUUGGCGGGGUAAAGGCCCACCAAGGCGACGAUCCGUAGCUGGUCUGAGAGGAUGAUCAGCCACACUGGAACUGAGACACGGUCCAGACUCCUACGGGAGGCAGCAGUGGGGAAUAUUGGACAAUGGGCGCAAGCCUGAUCCAGCCAUACCGCGUGGGUGAAGAAGGCCUUCGGGUUGUAAAGCCCUUUUGUUGGGAAAGAAAAGCAGCAGGUUAAUACCCCGCUGUUCUGACGGUACCCAAAGAAUAAGCACCGGCUAACUCCGUG